GUUUGAUUUUAGUAUUCGAAUUCCUGCUUUAAUUGGCUGGCCCUCGUCCUCUAUUUACCGAUACUAUUCCUUAUUUUUGUUCUUGUAGAUCUUUUUUAACCUCGUUGCUUUCCCUUUUUCCUUUCUUCUUCUUGUUCAUUUGGUUGGAUUUUCUCUGCUUACAUAACCUUUCUUCACUAGACUUCCAUGAUUUCUAACUGGGUAAGGAUUUCGGGUUCAUUUUUGCGCUUGUAAUUUUUUUGGCUGCUAUUUUACUUGGUAUAGAUUUUCUUCUUUUGCUGUGGCUCCCCCCCUACGUAAAUGACAUGAAGUGUUUUAUUUUCAUGAUAAAC
RNAcentral lists this unclassified non-coding RNA (332 nucleotides) under Hevea brasiliensis (rubber tree). Lineage: Eukaryota; Viridiplantae; Streptophyta; Magnoliopsida; Malpighiales; Euphorbiaceae. The record is from RNAcentral.